Long non-coding RNA from Limulus polyphemus (Atlantic horseshoe crab), 678 nucleotides. RefSeq lists it as uncharacterized. The record is from RefSeq and is a predicted model, not a curated record. NCBI's taxonomy places the organism in Eukaryota, Metazoa, Arthropoda, Merostomata, Xiphosura, Limulidae. The transcript is spliced from 3 exons.
CCCUGGGCUCCAGAGAUUCGGGAAUGCCCCCCAGAAAGCACCUAGUACCAGACAAAAGUGCCAUAAGGGGAUUCACACUUUGCAAGCCUAAGGAGGGAAGUGAGAACGACAACAUGCUCGAACUUAACUGGUCUCCAAACUACAUUCGAGACUCCAAUAACCCAAGAGGUUCAGAGAACACUAAAACUGACCCCACAGUUUGUCACAGAGAAAAUAAUGAAAAGAAACGGACAAUAAUGAUAAAACAUAUCCUACCUGAUUCAAUAGGGAAAGUAGGCCUGAACAACUCCCAGAAAUGACGCGCGACUGGCAGUCAUAAGGCAGGAAGAACAACUUGGUAGCUCAAAUCCUCACCAUCAUGUACAGGCAAAGCAGUACAAAGUAAAAGAGGCCAAUCAGCAGAAGUCCACAAAAAUGGAGCCAACUCACAGCAAACCAGGCUUUACAUCCCAAGCCAAUAGCAUGCUCAGAUGCUGUUGAAGUAUGCAGAUAUAUCACAUUAACAUACAUGAGAGUAGGUGGGAGUAUCAAGGCUAGUGGCAAGCAAAAAUUUAUGGCAAAAAGAAGGCAGUAUAACUUGAAAAAGCUUUUAAUGAGAUGAGGUAAGAUAUCGUAUUGAAAUGUAUCAUAAAACACCAUUGUUUACAUGACUGUCACAGAUAGAAACUAUAUAAAUUU